GAACCAGCACCUCAAGUGGUCAGGAGGAUUAUUGGUCCUAAAGCAUCCGUAGCCUGUUCUGUAAGUUUUCGGUUAAAUCCAUUAGCUCAACUAAUGGGCUGCCGAAAAUACUGUAGAACUAGGGAGUGGGAGAGGUAGACGGUAUUCGGUAGGAAGGGGUAAAAUCCUUUGAUCUAUUGAGGACCACCUGUGGCGAAGGCGGUCUACCAGAACACGUUCGACGGUGAGGGAUGAAAGCUGGGGGAGCAAACCGGAUUAGAAACCCUAGUAGUCC
Molecule: ribosomal RNA, 274 nt
Filed under: uncultured bacterium
Lineage: Bacteria
Description: partial 16S ribosomal RNA
Rfam family: Archaeal small subunit ribosomal RNA
Source: RNAcentral